GCAUAUCAAUAAGCGGAGGAAAAGAAACCAACAGGGAUUGCCCUAGUAACGGCGAGUGAAGCGGCAACAGCUCAAAUUUGAAAUCUGGCGUCUUUGGCGUCCGAGUUGUAAUUUGCAGAGGGCGCUUUGGCAUUGGCAGCGGUCCAAGUUCCUUGGAACAGGACGUCACAGAGGGUGAGAAUCCCGUACGUGGUCGCUAGCCUUUACCGUGUAAAGCCCCUUCGACGAGUCGAGUUGUUUGGGAAUGCAGCUCUAAAUGGGAGGUAAAUUUCUUCUAAAGCUAAAUACUGGCCAGAGACCGAUAGCGCACAAGUAGAGUGAUCGAAAGAUGAAAAGCACUUUGGAAAGAGAGUUAAAAAGCACGUGAAAUUGUUGAAAGGGAAGCGCUUGCAGCCAGACUUGCCUGUAGUUGCUCAUCCGGGUUUCUACCCGGUGCACUCUUCUACGGGCAGGCCAGCAUCAGUUUGGGCGGUUGGAUAAAGGUCUCUGUCAUGUACCUCCUCUCGGGGAGAUCUUAUAGGGGAGACGACAUGCAACCAGCCUGGACUGAGGUCCGCGCAUCUGCUAGGAUGCUGGCGUAAUGGCUGUAAGCGGCCCGUCUUGAAACACGGACCAAGGAGUCUAACAUCUAUGCGAGUGUUUGGGUGUCAAGCCCGAGCGCGUAAUGAAAGUGAACGGAGGUGGGAACCUUUCGGGGUGCACCAUCGACCGAUCCUGAUGUCUUCGGAUGGAUUUGAGUAAGAGCAUAGCUGUUGGGACCCGAAAGAUGGUGAACUAUGCUUGAAUAGGGUGAAGCCAGAGGAAACAUCUGGUGGAGGCUCGCAGCGGUUCUGACGUGCAAAUCGAUCGUCAAAUUUGGGCAUAGGGGCGAAAGACUAAUCGACUAUCUAGUAGCUGAUCCUGCCGAAG
This 909-nucleotide ribosomal RNA is filed under the name Epicoccum andropogonis. Its description in RNAcentral is "LSU rRNA". It matches the Rfam family "Eukaryotic large subunit ribosomal RNA", at positions 38 to 966 of the family's 3401-position model. The record is from RNAcentral. Lineage: Eukaryota; Fungi; Ascomycota; Dothideomycetes; Pleosporales; Didymellaceae.